GAGCGCCGUAGCAAUACGGAGCGGCAGACGGGAGAGUAACACGUGGGAACGUGCCCUUUGGUCCGGAACAACCCAGGGAAACUUGGGCUAAUACCGGAUAAGUCCGUAAGGAGAAAGAUUUAUCGCUGAAGGAUCGGCCCGCGUCUGAUUAGCUAGUUGGUGAGGUAACGGCUCACCAAGGCGACGAUCAGUAGCUGGUCUGAGAGGAUGAUCAGCCUCACUGGGACUGAGACACGGCCCAGACUCCUACGGGAGGCAGCAGUGGGGAAUAUUGGACAAUGGGCGCAAGCCUGAUCCAGCCAUGCCGCGUGGAUGAUGAAGGCCCUAGGGUUGUAAAGUCCUUUCGGCGGGGAAGAUAAUGACGGUACCCGCAGAAGAAGCCCCGGCUAACUCCGUGCCAGCAGCCGCGGUAAUACGAAGGGGGCUAGCGUUGCUCGGAAUCACUGGGCGUAAAGCGCACGUAGGCGGCUUUUUAAGUCAGGGGUGAAAUCCUGGAGCUCAACUCCAGAACUGCCUUUGAUACUGAGAAGCUUGAGUCCGGGAGAGGUGAGUGGAACUGCGAGUGUACAGGUGAAAUUCGUAGAUAUUCGCAAGAACACCAGUGGCGAAGGCGGCUCACUGGCCCGGUACUGACGCUGAGGUGCGAAAGCGUGGGGA
This 657-nucleotide ribosomal RNA is filed under the name uncultured forest soil bacterium. RNAcentral describes it as "bacterial SSU rRNA". It matches the Rfam family "Bacterial small subunit ribosomal RNA", at positions 64 to 767 of the family's 1533-position model. The record is from RNAcentral.